This 466-nucleotide ribosomal RNA is filed under the name uncultured bacterium. Its description in RNAcentral is "partial 16S ribosomal RNA". It matches the Rfam family "Bacterial small subunit ribosomal RNA", at positions 30 to 507 of the family's 1533-position model. The record is from RNAcentral.
CGACCGCUGGCGGCGUGCUUACCACAUGCACGUCGACCGGCAAAGCCCUGCUUUUGUGGGGUGCUCGAGUGGCGAACGGGUGAGUAACACGUGAGUAACCUGCCCUUGACUUUGGGAUAACUUCAGGAAACUGGGGCUAAUACCGGAUAGGAGCUCCUGCUGCAUGGUGGGGGUUGGAAAGUUUCGGCGGUUGGGGAUGGACUCGCGGCUUAUCAGCUUGUUGGUGGGGUAGUGGCUUACCAAGGCUUUGACGGGUAGCCGGCCUGGGAGGGUGACCGGCCACAUUGGGACUGAGAUACGGCCCAGACUCCUACGGGAGGCAGCAGUGGGGAAUAUUGCACAAUGGGCGGAAGCCUGAUGCAGCAACGCCGCGUGCGGGAUGACGGCCUUCGGGUUGUAAACCGCUUUCGCCUGUGACGAAGCGUGAGUGACGGUAAUGGGUAAAGAAGCACCGGCUAACUACGUG